ACGGGUGCGUAACGCGUAAGGUAAUCUCGCCCUGGAGGUCUGACACUAACCCGUCGAUAGGGCGGGCUAACAUCAGAUGAUAUAUAAUCACGACAUCGUGGAAAUAUCAAAUCUUCGGAGCCUUGGGAUGAGCCUGCGUCUGAUUAGGUAGUUGGCGGAGUAAUAGCCCACCAAGCCUACGAUCAGUAGCUGGUCUGAGAGGAUGAUCAGCCACACUGGAACUGAGACACGGUCCAGACUCCUACGGGAGGCAGCAGUAAGGAAUAUUGCUCAAUGGGGGAAACCCUGAAGCAGCAACGCCGCGUGAAGGAUGAAAUACUUUGUAUGUAAACUUCUGUAAGAUGGGAAAAUAUUCUCCUCGGGAGAAUUGAUUGUACCAUCAGAGUAAGCCCCGGCUAACUACGUG
This 406-nucleotide ribosomal RNA is filed under the name uncultured bacterium. RNAcentral describes it as "bacterial SSU rRNA". It matches the Rfam family "Bacterial small subunit ribosomal RNA", at positions 102 to 507 of the family's 1533-position model. The record is from RNAcentral.